RNAcentral lists this ribosomal RNA (557 nucleotides) under Bradypus variegatus (Brown-throated sloth). Its description in RNAcentral is "partial 16S ribosomal RNA". It matches the Rfam family "Bacterial large subunit ribosomal RNA", at positions 1816 to 2601 of the family's 2925-position model. Lineage: Eukaryota; Metazoa; Chordata; Mammalia; Pilosa; Bradypodidae. The record is from RNAcentral.
CACCUCUAGCAUAACAACUAUUAGAGGCACCGCCUGCCCAGUGACAUAUGUUUAACGGCCGCGGUACCCUGACCGUGCAAAGGUAGCAUAAUCAUUUGUUCCUUAAUUAGGGACUUGCAUGAAAGGCCUAACGAGGAUUUUACUGUCUCCUGCCUCCAAUCAGUGAAAUUGACCCCCCCGUGAAGAGGCAGGGAUAACCCUAUAAGACGAGAAGACCCUACGGAACUUUAAUUAACUAAUCUAAUCAUAACCUAUACAAACCUAACGGGAACAACUUUCCAUGACCUAGAUUAGCAAUUUCGGUUGGGGCGACCUCGGAGUACAAAAAAUCCUCCGAAUGACCAUGCACCCAGACUUCACCAGUCAACGUGCCUCGUUAUCAACUCAAUUGACCCAAGUAAUUGAUCAACGGAACAAGCUACCCUAGGGAUAACAGCGCAAUCCUAUUUCAGAGUCCAUAUCGACAAUAGGGUUUACGACCUCGAUGUUGGAUCAGGACAUCCUAGUAGUGUAACCGCCACUAAAGGUUCGUUUGUUCAACGAUUAAAGUCCUACGU